Molecule: RNA transcript, 5200 nt
Organism: Camelus dromedarius (Arabian camel)
Lineage: Eukaryota; Metazoa; Chordata; Mammalia; Artiodactyla; Camelidae
Gene: LRRFIP1
Gene name: LRR binding FLII interacting protein 1
Exons: 23
Source: RefSeq, a predicted model, not a curated record
GCGACGGUCCCGCGGCAGCAGCGGGCGGCGCGGCCGAUGGACAUGGGCACCCAGGGCUCGGGGCGCAAACGGCUCCCCAACCGGGAGCGGCUGACGGCGGAGGACGACGCGCUGAACCAGAUCGCGCGUGAGGCGGAGGCCAGACUGGCGGCAAAGCGCGCGGCGAGGGCUGAGGCUCGAGAGAUCAGGAUGAAGGAGCUGGAGCGGCAGCAGAAGGAGAUCUAUCAGGUUCAAAAGAAAUACUACGGGCUGGAUACGAAGUGGGGUGACAUCGAGCAAUGGAUGGAAGACAGUGAGCGCUACUCACGUAGAUCCAGAAGGAACACAUCGGCUUCUGAUGAAGAUGAACGCAUGUCAGUGGGUAGCCGUGGAAGCCUGAGGUCUCAGCCUGACUUGGAGUAUGGGGGACCCUACGCCUGGACAAAUGGUUAUGAUGGAGAAUUAUAUGGAUCCCAGUCCCUGAAUAGAAGAUCUGGCGGGAAUUCCAGCUACAGCGGUGACGGCAGAUUCUCUACUUUGUCAUCAUCCAGAGAGGAGACGUUGCCCUUGUAUCCGUACAGCGCUGCCAGGCCGGCUGGGAGUUACCGGGCGUCUGUGUUCCCUGAGAGCAGUCUCGGAGGGGCUCGGCGGGGCAAUGCCUGCGGUUCCCACACUCCCUCCGAGCCCAGCGGCCACCUCAAGUCCAGCUCCCGCUCCUCCUCCAGAGCCAGCUCGGCGCGAGCCAGCCCAGUGGUUGAAGAGAGACCAGAGAAGGAUUUCACUGAGAAGGGGUCUCGUAGCCUGCCCGGCCUGUCUGCAGCCACACUGGCCUCCCUGGGUGGGACUUCCUCUCGGAGGGGCAGCGGGGACACCUCCAUCUCCCUUGACACUGAAGCGUCCAUUAGGGAACUCAAGGAACUCAAUGAGUUAAAGGACCAGAUUCAGGAUGUAGAAGGCAAAUACAUGCAGGGAUUGAAAGAGAUGAAGGACUCACUAGCAGAAGUUGAAGAGAAAUACAGGAAGGCUGUGGUUUCCAACGCUCAGCUGGACAACGAGAAGACAAACUUCAUGUACCAGGUCGACACGCUGAAGGACACACUCCUGGAGCUGGAGGAGCAGCUGGCUGAGUCCAGGCGGCAGUUCGAGGAGAAGAACAAAGAGUUUGAAAGGGAAAAGCAUGCCCACAGUGUCCUCCAGUUUCAGUUUGCUGAAGUGAAGGAGGCCCUGAAGCAAAGGGAAGAGAUGCUUGAGGAAAUCCGACAGCUACAGCAGAAACAGGAGAGUUAUAGCAGGGAGAUUUCUGAUCUUCAGGAAACAAUAGAGUGGAAAGACAAAAAGAUAGGGGCAUUAGAGAGGCAGAAAGAGUUCUUUGAUUCCAUAAGGAGUGAACGAGAUGAUCUUAGAGAAGAAGUAGUCAUGCUGAAAGAGGAAUUAAAGAAACAUGGAAUAAUACUAAAUUCAGAAAUAGCUACCAAUGGAGAGACUUCGGAUGCUCUAAAUAAUGUUGGCUACCAAGGUUCUCCGAAGAUGACAAAGGAAGAGUUAAGUGCUCUCAAGGCGACAGGGGAUGGGACGCUAGGUCCAAACCAGACCGUGGUGGCUGUAUGUAAAAUGUUAAUCUUCCUUCAAAAGUGUAAGUAUAAUUAUGGGUUCAUACAGAAAACAGGGAAAGGUAACUGAGAAUUUUGAAUUAUAGGCUAUUUUAUAACAUACAAAGGUUGGGAAGCAAUAAAGAUUUUUAAAAGAGUGCUCAAGAAUGAGCUGUAUUACAUUGACUACUUUCUGGAAUGUUGAGUAUUUCCAGUUAGUGGAAAAUCUGACCUGAACAUUUAAAUUCCCACCGUCACUGGGACCCUGGAACACUGCUUCUGGGAGCUUAGUUUAGGGUUCCUGUUUCUGUUGAUAGACUCCUUCCGUAGGAGACCGCCUUGUACAGUGUGCCGCCACAGCCACUGAAGGGAACACAGCAGUAAGGGUCGUUCCAAAUGUCCACGUUCCAGAGGUGUUUGUGAGUGUGUUGUGUUCAGAAUAUAUGCUUAUCCGGCGUGGUGAUCUGAUACAGAGAAAACUAUCUUUCAGCAGGAAAACCCUUUCAGCCUUUCUGCCCCCUUACGUUGAAGACAUACGUAUUUUUCGAGGUGUGAAAGGCUUCAGCUGUCCCGCUGGACUGAGGCCAGCAGCGGCUGGUGCUGACGGCUCCCCUCUGUACAGGCCUCUUGGGUGCCAUAAACAGCAGGAAAAGAACCGCCCUCAGCAGCCCGCCCCGUUCUUUUUCUUACAGGAAGGAGGCGCGACCCUGACGUGGGAGCCACUUGGGGAAAGUGCAAACUGACCGCGUGAACUAUAAUCACGCUGAGCCAGUGCAAGGUGGGGGCGGAGAGAGGGCCAUACCUCCUCAGGGGAUUUCUUGAGACCUCGGUCUUGCGUUCAUUAUCUUUGCCAGCGUGGAGGGAAGGUGACCUUCCUCUGCAGGGGGGAGAGGAAGACUGAGGCCCGGGAUGGUUGAGAUCAACCCACAGAAGGGAAAUUAGAUUCUUGAUAGUAUAUUACUAAGAGCAAGCUACUUAGCCUCACUGUGCCUCAUUUUACUCUCAGAGGUUGGGGUUAGAGUGGUGGUGAGGAUCAGACCCAGGUACAGCACUAAAGAGAGUUAGUGCUGGGUGACUGGUUGUCGCCAGUGGUUGACCUUGCUGCAGCCUGGACAGCUGUGGUCACAGCCUGCAAGCCAAGGAAGGGCAGACAGGAGCGGGGCGGGGGUCCUGGUGCCUGCUUGCUGCCCCCGUGACUGUCUCACCAUCUCCCCACUUGGUUUCUUGUUUCACCCUUUAACAGUAUACUAAAAUAACUUUUUAAUUGCCAAUUCAUGUUAACUUCCCAACAUGAAAGAAAACUCUGAGUUGGAGGCAUUGUGACUGCAUUGUCUUUAAUGCUUAUAAUCUGGGCGUUGGAAAGCAGUGAUGAACAAGGCUGCCCAGUGAGGAGAGGUUUACGACACUUGUUAGUGUCACAGUCAUUACCCGUGAUGCACCACUGCUCACUUCACAGGUGAGACCUGUUGAUUUUUAAAACUGCAAAAAAGCAAUACUCGUUUUUAAAAAUUUUUUUGUUGAUGUAUAGUUGAUUUAUAAAAUUAUAUUUGUUUCAGGUUCAUAACAGCAUUUUGGUAUUUUUAUAGAUUAUAUUAUAUCUAAAGUUAUUAUAAAAUGUCAACUAUAUUCCCUGUGCUGUUCAGUAUAUCCUUGCAGCUCACUCAUCUUAUACUUGGUAGCUUGUACCUCUUAAUCUAACCCUCCACCCACAUUCUGCCCUUCCUGCCUGCCUUCUCCCUCCUGGUAAUCACUGGUUACCAUCUGUGAGUCUGUUUCUGUUUCAUUAUCUAUAUAUAUAUUAUAUAAAUAUUCAUUUGUCUUAUUUUUAAGAUUGCCCGUGUAAGUGAUAACAGUGUUUGUCUGACUUAUUUCAGUUCUCGUUUUCUUUGUAUUAAAUAAUUUUACUUUUUUUUCCAGUUUCUUGAAACUAUUUAAUCUUCUCCAAUUCUGCUUUAAAAAUGUCUCCUCCUUAAAAGUUUCAUUUCUCUCUCUCCGUUUUUUGUAUUUUCACCUUAAGACUAAAGACCAGAUUACCCGUGUUUUAUUUUGGGUUUUUUGCUAGCGCUAUUAUUACAUUUUAAUAUUUGUUUUUUACUUGCUAUCUAAGAUAUUUGAGGUCUUCUAAUAGAAAAAAAUUGUAAAUAUAUAUAUAUGUGCUUCGAGAUCUUUCUCAUAUAUUCCUUCCAGUAUAUUCAGUACUUCUUAUGAUGCUUGUGGUUUUUGUAUGUGGGAAUGUAAAAUAUAUAAGAUAAAAUAAAAAGUGAUACUGAAUAAGAGGCAGGUUUAUAAUGACAAAAAUUGUUUUAGUGUUGGGUAGGUUUAUGGAAGGGACGAUAAAACAGCUGUCAGAAGCAAUUUGUAUGUAAAUUAAAAUGGAACUCAUUUAUCUUAUGCAUGACAUUUUCUGGUUUCAUUGAUUUUGUAAUUGUGCCUUUCAAAAUAGCAGCUUAGGGUGUUCGGAAAAACAAUUAUGGAGAAAAGCAUGUAACUUGGAUUAGGACGUGAAUAGAUGAUUUUUUUUUAUGACAACAAAGGUGCACUGUGUAUUAGUUAUUUCCGUUUCACGUAGCUGAUCCAGAGCUGGGCAGUGUGAGAGCACUGUCCCCUCAGGAGGAAGGGCCUCAGGCCAGUCCAGUCUGACUCAGAGGUCUCUGUUUAGAUCCAGAAAAGAGUGAGUGCAGUGGUGAAGGGUGCAGCCCUGGGGGCCUUGGGAAGGCUUCGGGGCCGGGUCCUCACCUGUGGAAGAGGGGCGUGGUAGCAGUGCCCACCUGUGGGUGUCACCAGGGGUGGUGUGAGCUGCUGGACAGAGCCCGGCCCACAGCCAGGGCACAGCAUGCGUUAGCAUCAAUCACCAUCACAUCAUCCUGACUUUGCCUGAAAACUGAUGCAGGAUUUUUCCCCUAAAAUCCUCCCCAGGUCUCCGUAUCCCUCUCUGUACUCUCGAGUUUGUCUCACUCAGCACCCCAUUAGAGAGAUGUCUGGGGGACUUCUAGGUGCUUAUGUAUAUGUAAACUACUGUAUCGGGGUGGGAGGAAUCACAGGACCUUGGCUACUGCUGCCGUCUUCCUCAGAAGAGUGACAGCUCUUGACAGGUGGGUCUGCAGGUGUAUUGUCAGCACACUUAGGAUUCAUAAGCCUAGAGUCAGAACUCUGCCCUUGGUGAGUCUUUGAGAGAAAUGAGAAAAGGUAAACACUUCUGGGCUGGGAACUUGGAAAGCCAAGACUAACGAAGACACUGGUGCCAUUUCAUCGCGAUUCUCCCUGUGUCUGUACCUUGCUAAUGACGUGAAACCAUAAAGCCUGUGAGAUUUUGUGUUGCAGUGUGGUUUGGCCCUAGAGCUCUUGCAUGCUAACCCAGAGUAGAAGAUUAGCCCGUUUGCAUGCAGCCGGAUGCUGCCCUGAUGAGACAAGCAUGUUGUGGGCGGUUGGCCCUGCUCCACCUCCCCUGGCUGAAUUCCUCCCCAGUCCUGUCUGUGGCCUCGUUCGCUGUGAUAUUAGGUUGAAAAAGCUUAUCGAUGAACGGGAAUGCUUAUUGGAACAGAUUAAGAAACUCAAAGGGCAGCUGGAAGAGAGACAGAAGAGCAUCAGACUAGACAAUCUACGCCCUGAAGAUGCUGUCUUAGAAAACGGGA